RNAcentral lists this unclassified non-coding RNA (293 nucleotides) under Dyella marensis. Its description in RNAcentral is "Long range pseudoknot". Lineage: Bacteria; Pseudomonadati; Pseudomonadota; Gammaproteobacteria; Lysobacterales; Rhodanobacteraceae. The record is from RNAcentral.
ACGGACGUGGGCGACUACCAGAUCAAGCUGCGCAACAUGCUUCGCUUCCUGGAAGAGGGCGACAAGGUCAAGGUCACCAUCCGCUUCCGCGGCCGCGAGAUGUCGCACCAGGAUCUGGGCCAGAACCUGGCCAGGAAGAUCCAGGAAGACGUCGGCGAGAACGGCGUGGUGGAGUCCUUCCCCCGCCUGGAAGGCCGCCAGAUGGUCAUGAUGAUCGGCCCGAAGAAGAAGUAAUCCGGGCCGGUAUCCCGCAAUGGCGGCCCUUGGGCCGCCGUUGGCAUUUCCGGGACCUG